This 497-nucleotide ribosomal RNA is filed under the name uncultured bacterium. RNAcentral describes it as "partial 16S ribosomal RNA". It matches the Rfam family "Bacterial small subunit ribosomal RNA", at positions 28 to 507 of the family's 1533-position model. The record is from RNAcentral.
GAUGAAUGCUGGCGGCGUGCCUAAUACAUGCCAGUCGAGCGAACAGACGAGGAGCUUGCUCCUUUGACGUUAGCGGCGGACGGGUGAGUAACACGUAGGUAACCUACCUAUAAGACUGGGAUAACUUCGGGAAACCGGAGCUAAUACCGGAUAAUAUUUCGAACCGCAUGGUUCGAUAGUGAAAGAUGGCUUUGCUAUCACUUAUAGAUGGACCUGCGCCGUAUUAGCUAGUUGGUAAGGUAACGGCUUACCAAGGCAACGAUACGUAGCCGACCUGAGAGGGUGAUCGGCCACACUGGAACUGAGACACGGUCCAGACUCCUACGGGAGGCAGCAGUAGGGAAUCUUCCGCAAUGGGCGAAAGCCUGACGGAGCAACGCCGCGUGAGUGAUGAAGGUCUUCGGAUCGUAAAACUCUGUUAUUAGGGAAGAACAAACGUGUAAGUAACUGUGCACGUCUUGACGGUACCUAAUCAGAAAGCCACGGCUAACUACGUG